AACGAACGCUGGCGGCAUGCCUAACACAUGCAAGUCGAACGAGACCUUCGGGUCUAGUGGCGCACGGGUGCGUAACGCGUGGGAACCUGCCCUUGGGUUCGGAAUAACUCCCCGACAGGGGUGCUAAUACCGGAUAAUGUCUUCGGACCAAAGAUUUAUCGCCUUUGGAUGGGCCCGCGUGGGAUUAGCUAGUUGGUAGGGUAAUAGCCUACCAAGGCGACGAUCCAUAGCUGGUCUGAGAGGAUGAUUAGCCACACUGGGACUGAGACACGGCCCAGACUCCUACGGGAGGCAGCAGUGGGGAAUAUUGGAAAAUGGGCGAAAGCCUGAUGCAGCAAUGCCGCGUGAGCGAUGAAGGCCUUAGGGUUGUAAAGCUCUUUUACCCGGGAUGAUAAUGACAGUACCGGGAGAAUAAGCUCCGGCUAACUCCGUG
RNAcentral lists this ribosomal RNA (433 nucleotides) under uncultured bacterium. RNAcentral describes it as "partial 16S ribosomal RNA". It matches the Rfam family "Bacterial small subunit ribosomal RNA", at positions 29 to 507 of the family's 1533-position model. The record is from RNAcentral.